UACGGGGGGGGUAAGCGUUGUUCGGAAUUACUGGGCGUAAAGCGCACGUAGGCGGCUUUGUAAGUUAGAGGUGAAAGCCUGGAGCUCAACUCCAGAAUUGCCUUUAAGACUGCAUCGCUUGAAUCCAGGAGAGGUGAGUGGAAUUCCGAGUGUAGAGGUGAAAUUCGUAGAUAUUCGGAAGAACACCAGUGGCGAAGGCGGCUCACUGGACUGGUAUUGACGCUGAGGUGCGAAAGCGUGGGGAGCAAACAGG
This 253-nucleotide ribosomal RNA is filed under the name uncultured bacterium. Its description in RNAcentral is "partial 16S ribosomal RNA". It matches the Rfam family "Bacterial small subunit ribosomal RNA", at positions 524 to 776 of the family's 1533-position model. The record is from RNAcentral.